Molecule: long non-coding RNA, 748 nt
Organism: Lycium barbarum (goji berry)
Lineage: Eukaryota; Viridiplantae; Streptophyta; Magnoliopsida; Solanales; Solanaceae
Exons: 2
Source: RefSeq, a predicted model, not a curated record
CCAAACGGUCUCCCUCAUAGAGAAAAUUAUUUGUGCAAAGAUAGAAUUCCUGGAAAAUUCGUCCUCCCAAACUUGUACCAUUUGCUUGCCAAAGUCAAUUUUCAAAGGCUACUCAAAUCUUCUUGUCAGAAGAUGUAUCUAACUCUUGAUGAAUACCUUCGGUAAAUUUCUUGCUUAUGGUCACCUUGAUUUUAUUGGCAAUCUAAAAGGUCAGUCGGUCAGGUAUGCCUAUAUGAUCAUUCAAAAUUCUGAGAAUUCUUUGCUUAUGUUGUGGUUACUCAUUUAUAAUAAUAUGGAGGGGAAUUUUCUUUGUCUAGCCCUAAUACAGAUUAAAUUUAUCCUUUUUUCUUAAAACACAUUUUUUUUGUUUUGUAUAUGACUAUAAUUUCUUACCCAAUAGUUGUUAGGGGUUUUGCCUUGAUUUUCUUACCAAAUUUGAGUUUUACUUUUCUCUUGAAGGAAAGUCAAAGUAUUACCAUAAUUGCUUUUACUUUUCUUGAAAUGAAAAUAUAUUUCUCUUCCAUAUUUGGCUAAUUCUUGUCUUGGAGGAAAAGUUUUGUACAUCUAUAAAUUGAAGACAUCUUUCCUACAACUAGAACACAAUAGCAUCCACAAUGUACUCGUUUAGACAGUCUUAUUUAUGGGGAGAUUAUUCUCUCCACAGUUUUAUAUCUUUCUUUAUAUUAGUUUUCGAUAUGUAGGUCAAUUGACCAAAUCAUAUUAUAAUAUUAUGCUUUUUAGUAUAUUU